UGUCACUGGAAUUCAUUUCAGUUAUCUCUGUGCAAUACAUUUAAACCUGUUUCUCCAUUAGAUAUCUCAAGCAAAUAAAACAUACUAUCCCGAAGACGAACACAGAACACAAGACCUAUGAAUUCUAUAUCCUCUCAGGCUUACAAGAAGAAGACAGGCAUGACCCACCUCUCUGUUGAGACUCCAGGACUCACAGCUCUGGUAGUACACUCCUCCCAGCUGGUUUUAAGAAGGACAGAGAAGUCUAUAAACAUAAAUUGCUUUCUGGAG
RNAcentral lists this long non-coding RNA (270 nucleotides) under Mus spicilegus (steppe mouse). RNAcentral describes it as "lncRNA (ENSMSIG00000003584.1)". The record is from RNAcentral. Lineage: Eukaryota; Metazoa; Chordata; Mammalia; Rodentia; Muridae.